RNAcentral lists this ribosomal RNA (445 nucleotides) under uncultured soil bacterium. RNAcentral describes it as "bacterial SSU rRNA". It matches the Rfam family "Bacterial small subunit ribosomal RNA", at positions 26 to 518 of the family's 1533-position model. The record is from RNAcentral.
AGAGCGAACGCUGGCGGCAGGCCUAACACAUGCAAGUCGAACGAACUCUUCGGAGUUAGUGGCGGACGGGUGAGUAACACGUGGGAACGUGCCUUUAGGUUCGGAAUAACUCAGGGAAACUUGUGCUAAUACCGAAUGUGCCCUUCGGGGGAAAGAUUUAUCGCCUUUAGAGCGGCCCGCGUCUGAUUAGCUUGUUGGUGGGGUAAUGGCCCACCAAGGCUACGAUCAGUAGCUGGUCUGAGAGGAUGACCAGCCACAUUGGGACUGAGACACGGCCCAAACUCCUACGGGAGGCAGCAGUGGGGAAUCUUGCGCAAUGGGCGAAAGCCUGACGCAGCCAUGCCGCGUGUAUGAUGAAGGUCUUAGGAUUGUAAAAUACUUUCACCGGUGAAGAUAAUGACUGUAGCCGGAGAAGAAGCCCGGCUAACUUCGUGCCAGCAGCCGC